RNAcentral lists this ribosomal RNA (404 nucleotides) under uncultured bacterium. RNAcentral's name for it is "bacterial SSU rRNA". It matches the Rfam family "Bacterial small subunit ribosomal RNA", at positions 355 to 775 of the family's 1533-position model. The record is from RNAcentral.
UAGGGAAUAUUGCACAAUGGGCGAAAGCCUGAUGCAGCAACGCCGCGUGCGCGAUGAAGGCCUUCGGGUCGUAAAGCGCUUUUCGGGGAGAUGAGGAAGGACAGUAUCCCCGGAAUAAGUCUCGGCUAACUACGUGCCAGCAGCCGCGGUAACACGUAGGAGGCAAGCGUUAUCCGAAUUUACUGGGCGUAAAGCGCGUGCAGGCGGUUCGGUAAGUUGGAUGUGAAAUCUCCUGGCUCAACUGGGAGAGGUCGUUCAAUACUGUCGGACUAGAGGAUGGUAGAGGGAGGUGGAAUUCCCGGUGUAGUGGUGAAAUGCGUAGAUAUCGGGAGGAACACCAGUGGCGAAAGCGGCCUCCUGGACCAUUCCUGACGCUCAGACGCGAAAGCUAGGGGAGCGAACGG